GUCUACAGCCAUACCACCCUGAACACGCCCGAUCUCGUCUGAUCUCGGACACUAAGCAGGGUUGGGCCUGGUUAGUUCUAGGAUGGGAGAAAUUAUUUUAUAGUAAUUC
Erinaceus europaeus (western European hedgehog) is the source of this 109-nucleotide ribosomal RNA. Lineage: Eukaryota; Metazoa; Chordata; Mammalia; Eulipotyphla; Erinaceidae. The record is from Ensembl.